Molecule: non-coding RNA, 81 nt
Organism: Dictyostelium discoideum
Lineage: Eukaryota; Evosea; Eumycetozoa; Dictyosteliales; Dictyosteliaceae
Source: Rfam
AAUAGAAUGGCUGAGUGGUUAAAGCGGAAGACUGUAAAUCUUUUGUCGCAAGACGCAUAGGUUCGAAUCCUAUUUCUAUCA